This 1036-nucleotide long non-coding RNA is filed under the name Ananas comosus (pineapple). Its description in RNAcentral is "long non-coding RNA (ACOM_LNC009343)". The record is from RNAcentral. Lineage: Eukaryota; Viridiplantae; Streptophyta; Magnoliopsida; Poales; Bromeliaceae.
CUCUAGCGGGGAGCCCGCUGCAGGGCGAGGGUUCGCUGCGGAGGCGACGCGUGGCAUGUUGAGGGUUCGCCUUUUAUUAGAUGUAUAGAUAACGAAUUAGCCCCCAAUAAAAAAAGGAAAAGAAAAAGGAAGCCUUAGUGAAACAUUAAUUAACUUGCGUAAUUUGGUAAAUCAAAUGAGAUUAGCGAGUUUGUGGUGUGAGUUUUAAAACUAAUACCGAACCGUUUUCUAAUUAAUAGAUAAGAUAUUUUGAAUAGUGUCACAUCAGAGUCAAUUCUAAUCCUCUCCAUUCAUUGAGGAAUUGUCAUGAUUCACUUGACACCUAUCUUGUACGGGAGCGAGAGAGUUGAGGAUUAGUGGCUAUUUUUUAGAAAAAAUUUCAAAUACCACCCAUGUAGUUUCAUACUUUCUCAUUUUAAUAUUUUGUGUUUUAUAGUGUAUCAAUUUAGUGUCAUAUAGUUUCAUUUUUAUCUUUUUAUUAUCGAUUUCACUAAUUUUUUUCGUUAAAUCAGUAACAAAGUUAAAACUAAAGGUUCUAAAGUGAAUAUUUGAUAAAGCUAAAUAGGGUAUCUGAAGUUUUUUGUACAUAAUUUAACAAAAUAUUAACGAAAAAGCUGCCUAAAAGAUAAAAAUAGAACCACAGGACACUAACUUAAUACACUUUAAACCACAAGUACUAAAGUGAGAAAAUACGAAACCACAGGAGUGCUAUUUGAAGUUUACCCUAUUUUUUAGUAUGAAGUUAUAACUGCACUGUAGUUAGGGAUGGCAAUCCAGCUCGUUGUUUGCGAGCCAGCUCGUGGUUCGCGAGCCGAACACGAGCUGGAUUUUUCAGCUCGUUUAAUAAACGAACCGAACACGAGCUGGGGUCAGCUCACUCGUGUUCGGUUCGAUAACAGCUCGAAUACAUAUAUUUUAUAUUUAUAUAAUUUAUAUAAUUUAUAUUUUUAUAUAUAAAUAAAUAAUUAUAUAUAAUAUAUAUUUUUAUUAUUUAAAUUUUAGCAAAAUAAAAAUAUAAAUGCGAGCUUAAUUAUAA